GCAAAUAUAGUUUAACAAAAACAUUAGAUUGUGAAUCUAAAAACAGAAGUUCAAAUCUUCUUAUAUGCC
This 69-nucleotide transfer RNA is filed under the name Phalanger gymnotis. RNAcentral describes it as "tRNA-His". It matches the Rfam family "tRNA". From Rfam's summary of the family: Transfer RNA (tRNA) molecules are approximately 80 nucleotides in length. Their secondary structure includes four short double-helical elements and three loops (D, anti-codon, and T loops). The record is from RNAcentral. Lineage: Eukaryota; Metazoa; Chordata; Mammalia; Diprotodontia; Phalangeridae.